Molecule: non-coding RNA, 361 nt
Organism: Oceanimonas sp. GK1
Lineage: Bacteria; Pseudomonadati; Pseudomonadota; Gammaproteobacteria; Aeromonadales; Aeromonadaceae
Rfam family: transfer-messenger RNA
About the family: Bacterial tmRNA, also known as 10Sa RNA or SsrA, is named for its dual tRNA and mRNA-like properties. Its role is to liberate the mRNA from a stalled ribosome. To accomplish this part of the tmRNA is used as a reading frame that ends in a translation stop signal.
Source: Rfam
GGGGCUGAUUCAGGAUUCGACGAGAUUCUCGAACUCCAAGGUGCAUGCCGAGGUGCGAUAGGCCUCGUUAAACAAUCGCAAAAAAAUAGUCGCAAACGACGAAAACUACGCACUCGCAGCUUAAUAACCUGUAGAGAGCCCUUCUGCCCUAGCUUGCCUGUGACUUAGGGAAUCGGAAGGUCAUCCUUCACAGGAUCGCGUGGAUGCCGUGCCUGACGGUUGAAGCGUUAAAACCAAUUCAGGAUAGUCUGUCUGUGGCGUGUCAGUCCGCAGCAGCUGGCGAAUUUAAUGACUGACUAAGCAUGUAGUACCGACGACGUAGGUUUUUCGGACGCGGGUUCAACUCCCGCCAGCUCCACCA